RNAcentral lists this ribosomal RNA (321 nucleotides) under uncultured eukaryote. RNAcentral's name for it is "partial 18S ribosomal RNA". It matches the Rfam family "Eukaryotic small subunit ribosomal RNA", at positions 1470 to 1796 of the family's 1831-position model. The record is from RNAcentral.
CCCUUAGAUGUUCUGGGCCGCACGCGUGCUACACUGAGUGGAUCAGCGGGUCAGGUUGCGCGAAAGCGUUUCCUAAUCUUUAAAUCCGCUCGUGAUGGGGAUUGACGGUUGCAAUUUUCUGUCAUGAACGAGGAAUACCUUGUAAGCGCGGGUCAUCAUCCCGCGCUGAAUACGUCCCUGCCCUUUGUACACACCGCCCGUCGCUCCUACCGAUUGAGUGGUCCGGUGAGGCUUUGGGAUUUGGUCUUUGAUACUUUAUUGUGUCGUUGACCGAAAAACUUGAGCAAACCUUAACGUUUAGAGGAAGGUGAAGUCGUAACA